RNAcentral lists this transfer RNA (74 nucleotides) under Cucumis melo (muskmelon). It matches the Rfam family "tRNA". Rfam says of the family: Transfer RNA (tRNA) molecules are approximately 80 nucleotides in length. Their secondary structure includes four short double-helical elements and three loops (D, anti-codon, and T loops). Lineage: Eukaryota; Viridiplantae; Streptophyta; Magnoliopsida; Cucurbitales; Cucurbitaceae. The record is from Rfam by way of RNAcentral. RNAcentral also lists the same sequence under 1 other name.
GUGGAUGUAGCCAAGUGGAUCAAGGCAAUGGAUUGUGAAUCCACCACACGCGGGUUCAAUCCUCGUCGUUCGCC